ACAGUAGGUUAUAGGAUUAUCCUCCAAUUACAACAUUUCCUUGUGUUUUUGUACAAGGCCAUAUGUCCAAACCCACUCACCUGAUUGGGUGAAGGGAGCAGGAUAAUGCUUUAAAAGGUGACCCUUAGUUCUCAUUGCAACCACCAAUUCUCUACGAAAAUCUCCUGUGAAGCUCUCAGUUUAGCGAAAUCUGUCGAUUCCAGCAACAAUGAAACUUUUUUCAAGUGACAGUUGGUCUGGUGCUCAUUGGACUAAGUCUUGCUCUUCCAGUUCAAGAGGAAGACGUCAGGGUCAAACGCUCCAGUAGCAAUGAAGUAAAUCCCAACAUGAACAACAUGAACAACAUGAACAACUUGAACAACAUGAACAACAACCAGAUUCUCCAGCUCCUGCUGCCCCUGAUCCUGACCCAGGCCCAGACUAACCCUACAGCAGUGGCCACACUGUUGACUCUACUGACCACCCAAGGGUGAAGAGACGCCAGUAAGCUGAAC
This is a long non-coding RNA of Boleophthalmus pectinirostris (great blue-spotted mudskipper), 494 nucleotides long. RefSeq lists it as uncharacterized. The record is from RefSeq and is a predicted model, not a curated record. The transcript is spliced from 4 exons. Lineage: Eukaryota; Metazoa; Chordata; Actinopteri; Gobiiformes; Gobiidae.